RNAcentral lists this ribosomal RNA (216 nucleotides) under uncultured archaeon. RNAcentral's name for it is "partial 16S ribosomal RNA". It matches the Rfam family "Archaeal small subunit ribosomal RNA", at positions 511 to 726 of the family's 1478-position model. The record is from RNAcentral.
UACAGGGUCCGUAGCCGGUUUACUCACUCUUCUGGGACAUCUAAUCGCUUAACUAUUAGGCUUCCAGGGGAUACUGUUAGACUUGGGACCGGGAGAGGUAAGAGGUACUGCCGGGGUACGAGUGAAAUCUUGUAAUCCCUGUGAGACCACCAGUGGCGAAGGCGUCUUACCAGAACGGGUCCGACGGUGAGGGACGACAGCUGGGGGCACGAACCG